Non-coding RNA from Pelobates cultripes (western spadefoot toad), 304 nucleotides. Lineage: Eukaryota; Metazoa; Chordata; Amphibia; Anura; Pelobatidae. The record is from the annotation of a GenBank genome assembly.
GUUUUGUGUCUUCUGUGUCUAACAUUAUAUGUGUUAUGUUCUUUUAAAUUGUGGUAUAUAGCCUGGAUCAGAGAUCAUGGACAAAGGUUUUUACCUGUGUUACUAAGGCUCUUGGAGACUGACCGGUCUAUAAAAAUUUUUAAGUCUCUGAGAGUUCUGUAAGAUUCUGGUGAAACCAUGUCUGUGUAAUCUGGUCCAAAUGUUUGCUCAAUUUCUAUAAGAUUUAAGUUGAUGCAGUAUCAUCUCAGGUUAGUUAAUGGAAGUUUCAUACAAAUAUUUGAGUUAUGAGCGCGCUAUAUAAAUG